CUUUCUUCUCAGGCAAGACACAUAAUAGUAAUUCAAUUUCUCAACCUUUGAAUCUCAGAUCUCCGAUUCGAAAUCCGGCGAACAUGGUGAGAGAUAUUGAGGCUGAGAUUAGAGACGACCAAUGACGUAGCAAAGCAUUCUUCGUCAAAGUCUCUGACUCUCUCCACGCCACUUACGUUCCGAUGAAAUCCAACUACGAAAAAGAAGAAUCUUGUUGAGAUGAGGAUGAGUUUGGAUUCCACGAGAAAGAGUUGUUGGGAUCAGAGUCCUCCGGUGAUUCAUCGCCGUGACGCCGCAUUGCUUCUUUCUUCACCACGUCUCAAACCCAAAUCGGGGGUUAGGGCCUUACUCUGCACCUAUCAAGAAAGCUGAGAAAGAGAUUUAAGGAACUCACCAAGAAGAUCAACGAUCUAUGUGGUACCAAGGAGUCUGAUGGUUUAGCUCGUCCCAGUCAAUGGGAUCUUGUAUCUGAUAAGCAAAUGAUGCAAGAGGAGCAACCUCUGCAGGUUGCGAGAUGCACAAAGAUAAUAAUGCCAAACACUGAAGACGCCAAAUACGUGAUCAGUGUCAAUCAAAUUGCGAAGG
Capsella rubella is the source of this 585-nucleotide long non-coding RNA. RefSeq lists it as uncharacterized. The record is from RefSeq and is a predicted model, not a curated record. The transcript has 4 exons. NCBI's taxonomy places the organism in Eukaryota, Viridiplantae, Streptophyta, Magnoliopsida, Brassicales, Brassicaceae.